UGGGGGAUAUUGCGCAAUGGGGGCAACCCUGACGCAGCAACGCCGCGUGAAGGAUGAAGGUUUUCGGAUUGUAAACUUCUUUUAUUAAGGACGAAACUUGACGGUACUUAAUGAAUAAGCUCCGGCUAACUACGUGCCAGCAGCCGCGGUAAUACGUAGGGAGCAAGCGUUGUCCGGAUUUACUGGGUGUAAAGGGAGCGUAGGCGGGUUGUUAAGUCAGUUGUGAAAGUUUGCGGCUCAACCGUAAAAUUGCAGUUGAUACUGGCGACCUUGAGUGCAACAGAGGUAGGCGGAAUUCGUGGUGUAGCGGUGAAAUGCUUAGAUAUCACGAAGAACUCCGAUUGCGAAGGCAGCUUACUGGAUUGUAACUGACGCUGAUGCUCGAAAGUGUGGGUAUCAAACAGGAUUAGAUACCCUGGUAGUCCACACAGUAAACGAUGAAUACUCGCUGUUGGCGAUAUACGGUCAGCGGCCAAGCGAAAGCAUUAAGUAUUCCACCUGGGGAGUACGCCGGCAACGGUGAAACUCAAAGGAAUUGACGGGGGCCCGCACAAGCGGAGGAACAUGUGGUUUAAUUCGAUGAUACGCGAGGAACCUUACCCGGGCUUAAAUUGCAACUGACUGAACCGGAAACGGUUCUUUCUUCGGACAGUUGUGAAGGUGCUGCAUGGUUGUCGUCAGCUCGUGCCGUGAGGUGUCGGCUUAAGUGCCAUAACGAGCGCAACCCUUAUCGAUAGUUACUAGCAGGUCAUGCUGAGGACUCUAUUGAGACUGCCGUCGUAAGAUGUGAGGAAGGUGGGGAUGACGUCAAAUCAGCACGGCCCUUACGUCCGGGGCUACACACGUGUUACAAUGGGGGGUACAGAAGGCAGCUACACGGCGACGUGGUGCUAAUCCCGAAAGCCUCUCUCAGUUCGGAUUGGAGUCUGCAACCCGACUCCAUGAAGCUGGAUUCGCUAGUAAUCGCGCAUCAGCCACGGCGCGGUGAAUACGUUCCC
Molecule: ribosomal RNA, 998 nt
Filed under: uncultured organism
Description: bacterial SSU rRNA
Rfam family: Bacterial small subunit ribosomal RNA
Source: RNAcentral